This 3354-nucleotide ribosomal RNA is filed under the name Candidatus Komeilibacteria bacterium CG10_big_fil_rev_8_21_14_0_10_41_13. RNAcentral describes it as "bacterial LSU rRNA". It matches the Rfam family "Bacterial large subunit ribosomal RNA", at positions 1 to 2315 of the family's 2925-position model. The record is from RNAcentral. Lineage: Bacteria; Candidatus Komeiliibacteriota.
GUUACACAAGGGCGAAUGGUGGAUGCCUCGACAUUAAAAGACGAUGAAGGACGUAGCAGCCUGCGAUAAGCCUCGGUUAGUUGGCAAGCAAACUUUGAUCCGGGGAUGUCCGAAUGGGGAAACCCGACAUGUAGAGAAGUACGUGUCAUCUCUAACUGAAUUCAUAGGUUAGUAGAGGAAGACCUGGGGAAUUGAAACAUCUUAGUACCCAGAGGAAAAGAAAGAAACAAUAUUAGUUUUUAGUUACUGGCUACUUAUUUUGGCAGUCAGUGAACUAUAAGCUAAUCUCGAUUCCCUUAGUAGUGGCGAGCGAACAGGGAAAAAGUCUAAACCACAUAAGUGUUACCAUGGAUCUUGAGAAGACUUCGGUUUUCUUAAGUGAAAUGGUUUAAAGGUGUGAGCCGUUGCUUAUGUUGGGGUUGUGAGUGGUUACAUUACAAAGCUUACAAUUUGUAGACAAGCUUGAUUAUUGCUAGUAGAAGCUGCUGGAAAGCGGCACCAAAGAGGGUGAUAGUCCCGUACAUAAAAGUUUUAAUCAGUUUGUGGUAAUUUAUCUCGAGUAGCUCAGGACUCGUGAAAUCCUGGGUGAAGCCAGCGCGACUAUGCGCUAAGACUAAAUACUUUUAAUGAUCGAUAGUGAACAAGUACCGUGAGGGAAAGGUGAAAAGCACCCCGGUGAGGGGAAUGAAAUAGUAUCUGAAACCAUUUGCUUACAAGCAGUCAAAGCCCGACUUUUUAAGCGGGUGAUGGCGUGCCUAUUGAAGAAUGAACCAACGAGUGUGCUGCAUGUUGCUUAACUUAAGUCUUACGAGACGUAGGUGUAGCGAAAGCGAGUCUUAACCGGCAAUCUUAGUUUAUUAGUCAGCCAGGUUUUACCUGAUUGACUAAUUUACUAAACGGCAGCAUGUACACGACCCGAAACCAGGUGAGCUAACCAUGGCCAGGGUGAAGCGACGGUAAAACGUCGUGGAGGCCCGAACCCACUAGCCGUGCAACACUAGGGGAUGAGCUGUGGUUAGAGGAGAAAUUCCAAUCGAACCUGGCAAUAGCUGGUUCUACCCGAAAUAGCUUUAGGGCUAGCGGUGGAUGUUUCCUAUUGGUGGUAGAGCACUGAAUGGGGUAAGGUGGGAAACCUUACUUACCCUAACCAAACUCCGAAUGCUGAUAGGUUAUAAUUCGCCAGUUAGACUAUGGGGGCUAAGCUCCAUUAGUCAAAAGGGAAACAGCCCAGAUCUCAAUCUAAGGUCCCAAAAUCUAAGUUAAGUGUGAAAGGUGGUGUUAGUUCUUGGACAACUAGGAGGUUGGCUUAGAAGCAGCCAUCCUUUAAAGAAAGCGUAAUAGCUCACUAGUCAAGAGCUUCCGCGCCGAAAAUGUAACGGGGCUAAACUUAGUACCGAAGAUGAGGGCUUAUACUUUUAGUAUGAGCGGUAGGGUAGCAUUCUAUAUUUGCUGAAGUUAUAUGCGCGAGCAAUGAUGGAGAAUAUAGAAGAGAAAAUGUUGGUAUGAGUAGCCAGAACAUGGGUGAGAAUCCCAUGCACCGAAAAUCCGAGGUUUCCUGGGCAAUGCGAAUCAACCCAGGGUUAGGCGAUCCUAAGGCGAGGCCGAAAGGCGUAGUCGAUGGAAGAGCAGGUUAAUAUUCCUGCCCUGCCUAUAUUUUCCGAUGGAGUGACGCUAAUUCAAGCUUUAUGCGUACAUAUGGUUAUGACGUCGGUUAACUUUGUAUUCUUUCCAGGUAAAUCCGGAAAGGUUAAAUAUAGGGUUAGCCGGGAGACGGCGAUUCGUCAAAGUCAACAUAAGGGGAGAAAUAGCCAAGAAAAACUUCUAGGGUUAAGAUAUAGGUAACCGUACCGCAAACCGACACAGGUGGAUGAGGCGAGAAGCCUAAGGUGUACGAGAGAACCUUCGUUAAGGAACUCGGCAAAACAGCGGCCGUAAGUUAGCAAUAAGGCCUGCCCAGAGCAAUCUGGGCCGCAGCGAAAGAUCCCAAGCGACUGUUUAACAAAAACACAGGUCCCUGCUAAACCGUAAGGUGAUGUAUAGGGGCUGAUGCCUGGCCAGUGUCAGAACGUUAAGGUGAGGGGUGAAAGCCUUGAUCUGAAGCGCUGAUGAACGCCGGCGAUAACUAUAAUCGUCCUAAGGUUCCAUAGUUUAUUAAUUAGACUAUGGAAGGAUUGGGACGGUUGUAGGAAGUUAAAUAGAAAUUCCUAAAUAAUUAUGGAAUAUAGCUGCCUGGCAAUAUCGUAAGGUAUUGUUAUCCUCAAAAUAAGUUGGCUAUAUGCUGAAAAAUCUGGUGAAUCGAGCGUUACUGUGAUAUAAUAGACAAGUAAUAAUUUAUCCUUGUCUUAAAUGUCUCAUAGUAAAAAUACGACUCGUGCAGACAAUCAGCAGGAAAGACUUAUCAAAAUAGGCUGGAUUACAGGAUUUGUUGACGGAGAAGGAUGUUUUUCAAUCGGUUUUAUUAAACAAAGCGAUAAGAAAGAAAAACAGCGUCUUCGCCGUGGAUACAAAACUGGAUAUCAAGUUACUCAUGAGUUUGUUGUAACUCAGGGAGAAAAAAGCAAAAAGUCAUUAGAAAUCUUAAAAGAAUAUUUUGGUACAGGCAAUAUCUUUGUGAAUAAAAGAUAUGAUAAUCAUAAAGAAAACUUGUAUAGAUAUGCUGUUAGAAAUAGAAAAGAUUUAUUAGAAAUAAUAAUCCCUUUCUUUCAGAAAUAUCAGUUACAGACUGCAAAAAAUGAAGAUUUCAAACUAUUUGCUAAAUGCCUUAAAUUAAUCUCAGAUAAUAAGCAUUUGACUUAUUCGGGCUUAAUAAAAAUUGUAGAAAUUUCUAGUAAGAUGAAUAGACAGACAUCUCGUGAUAAAUUGAUAAGAAUCCUCAGAGACCAAACGCCAACCAACCUUUAAAAAGGUUGAAGAUAUGGUCCGGACUGCAUGGCGACAUGCAGGCUCUAUUAACAAUGCCAAUAGAGCGCCAAUAUUCAUUGGUAACAUUUCGAGCGAAAUUCCUUGUCGGCUAAAUACCGACCUGCACGAAUGGCAUAACGACUUGGGAACUGUCUCGACGAAGGACUCGGUGAAAUUGCAAUAUGAGUAAAGAUGCUCAUUACCCGUGGCUGGACGAAAAGACCCCGUGAAGCUUUACUAUAACUUGGUAUUGGCUUAGGGAUAUUGUUGUUCAGCAUAGGUGGAAGACUUUGAAGCGUCAUCGUCAGAUGGCGUGGAGUCAACAAGUGAGAUACCACCCUUUAAUAUUUUUAAGUCUAACUCUUUUCCUUGAAUCAGGAGAGAGGACAGUAUCUGGUGGGUAGUUUAACUGGGGCGGUUGCCUCCUAAAAUGUAACGGAGGCGUUUACAAAG